This 6176-nucleotide small RNA is filed under the name Arabidopsis thaliana (thale cress). Its description in RNAcentral is "ATSL077390". Lineage: Eukaryota; Viridiplantae; Streptophyta; Magnoliopsida; Brassicales; Brassicaceae. The record is from RNAcentral.
GCAAAUAGCUCAUGUUCCCUUAGCCGUUCCAGCACCGCCCUUAGAUGUUCUUGGUGAGCUUCCCAAGAUUUCGAGUAAACAAGUAUAUCGUCAAUGAAGAUGAUAACAAACUCGUCUAAGAAAUCCCGGAACACCCCAUUCAUCAUUUUCAUGAAGGCUGCUGGUGCAUUGGUCAAUCCCAAUGGCAGACCACAAACUCAAAGUGGCCGUACCUUGUCCGAAAAGCCGUUUUCCUCACGUCCGUUGGCUCUAUGGGAAUUUGGUGAUAUCCUGAGGCCAAGUCGAUUUUUGAAAACCACUGUGCACCUCCAAGUUGAUCCAUCAACUCAUCUAUCCGGGGUAAAGGAUAUUUGUUUUUCACCGUAACUUUAUUCAAUCCCCGAUAAUCGAUGCAUAGCCUAAAGCUACCAUCUUUCUUUUUCACAAACAGAACCGGCGCACCCCAUGGUGAGCUACUCGGCCUGAUGAAUCCUUUAUCCAACAACUCCUCCAACUGUUUCUUUAGCUCCGCCAUUUCCGCCGGUGCCAUCCGGUACGGAGCUUUAGAUAUGGGGGUUGUCCCGGGCUCGAGUUCUAUCGUGAACGGGUCUGACCGGUCCGGUGGUACACCACUAACGGCCGCAAACACGUCCGAGAACUCGUUGACGAUCGGAAUGUCUUUCAACUCCGCACUCGCCCCCACUUCCUUGGUUGUGAUCGUGGCUAAAUAUGCCUCACAUUCUUUCCCGAGCAUCCUUUCAGCCUGGAUUGCCGAGAUUACCAAGCUUCCCGAGGUUGUUCUUAUUCCUUGGAAUUUUAACAUACCCUCGUCCCUCUCGAAUUGUAUCCGUCCUCGGUGACAAUCUAUGUGAGCCUUGUACUUCCCCAACCAGUCUAUCCCUAAGAUAACAUCAUGUUUCUUUAGUGGAACAAUGAUUAGGUCCGCGGGCAUAUUGACACUGUUCACUACAACCGAGAUGCCCCGAACAAGUCCGGUCGGAUACAUUGCCUGUCCGCCGGCCGCUCGUACCAUUCCAUAAUCGGUGUUUGGUUCUUUCCUGAACCCACCUAUUUCAACCAAUUCUGGACUAACAAAACAAUGUGUAGCCCCAGAAUCAAAUAGAGUGUGCGUUACUACGUCACCUACUCUCAAGGUCCCUACACAUUCCCUUAGAAUGUUGAGUACCUCCCCUUUCCCAUAUGCAUGAUGCAAUGCAAAUGCAGUUAUUGAAAUAAUGAAUAGGGAGUUGUGAGAACGUACCAGUGAUCGCCCUGAAGUUUCCGGCAUCGUUAGCUUCCUCCGACAACUCAUAAACUCGCGGUGCCACGGCUUGCCGCUUUGGGGGAGGCGGCAGUCCAUUUCCCCCGCGAUUGUCCCUUUGUCCGGCCUGCUUCUCCGCAGUCAACUUAGGGCACUCUCGCUUUAGAUGUCCAGUCUUUCCGCAAUAGAAACAAGUCCUUGUCUCUUCACCGAGAACCUUGGACUGCCCUGGUUCCAUUCUCGGGCAACUUUGGAUCGCAUGGUCCUUGCUUCCACACCGGCCACAUGCACCUAUGGCCUUCCAGCAAGUUCCGCUGUGGCUCUUACCACAGGUCACGCAUUCCCCGGUCUUAGCAUCGGACUUGGUGUUAUCCACCUUGUCAAAUUUCCUUUUCUUAUCCGCGGGUUUGGUGGAUUGAUUGUUCCGGAUCGGUGCUUUCUCCCGGUUCAAGUACCUCUCCUCCUCGAUCCCUUCCUCAAUCAUUGCUGCCCUUUCAACCAAUUCGGAAACCGAGUUGAAUGUCCGGACCAAACAAUGGUUGCGGAUCUCUAUCCUUAGUCCACGGAUAAAUCGGCGCACUUGAGCUUGUUCCUCCUCAAGUUCACGUCCCACAUAACGCCUUAGGCGGUUAAAUUCCUCAUCAUAUUCACGCACCGUGCGGUUCCCUUGAACUAGGUCGAGGUACGCACAUUCAAGCCUAUCCCAAGCCUCCGGUGGAAAGUACUUCUUGUUAAACUCGUCUUCGAAAUCCGCAAAGGACCGGACCUCGUCCCCUCUGCGUUUCUCGACGGUUAACCACCAAUUAUGGGCGUCUCCUUCAACGAAAUGGACCGCAAUGUCCCUUUGGUAAUCCUCAGGGCAGCGGGUAGACUUGAAGUUCCUCUUGAGUCUACUCCUCCACUCAUCGGCCACAAUCGGGUCCGUACUGCCCAUGAAGUGUCUCGUGCCCAGCCUUGAGACAUGUUCGAGAAGACUCAGAUAGUCUCCCCUUUUCCGCCCAUAAUUCGGUUGUGGAUUCACUUCCACAACUUCCGAGUCAUCGUCCUUUUGGUUAUCCCCUUUUAGGACCACCGGAUCUGCUACAACGGCCUUGGUCAAUGUGGCUAGUUGCGCCAUCAUUCCCUUCAUCAAAUCCCACUGUUCUUGGGCCGUUGGAGUAUUGUUCCGGUUAUCCGUGCUGUCCCUUGCACCACUACUCUCCGGUGCUUCCUCAUUUAUGGACUUCUUCCCGGCCUCAGGUCCGGCCGAGUCUGUCCCAUCGAACAUUGUCCCGACUCUGGUUUUCUCGUUGAUCAUCGUUUCCUCCUCAACCAAAGUCUCCUCGACAAUGCCCUUGUCCUUCUUACUCUUUCCCGUUUUGCUGCUCUUACCCAUCUGCGAAACCUCUAAAGUUAAUCCACAUAACUCCUAGUAAAAUCGCAAAGGAGUAAAGAACAACUACCGCGAGAUUCUCAAGCCGACGAGUGGUGAUACCCCUUAACCCAACACCUAGUCCUAGAACCAAGCAUGCUCUGAUACCAACUUGAAAGGCCCCGAUCCGGACUGCCUAAAGUCCGGGCGAGUUCUCUCGACCCAAGCCACUAAGUGACUCGGCCCUAACCGUUUAUGAGGUUCUUUCCUAGUCUAAUCCGUUUCAUAUGAUUCCGAGAUUCAAUAUAUGAGACGAAUAGAGUAAACAAACAAUCGGAUACUUUAUUAAUUAAGCAAAGGAUUCGAUACAACCUAUGAGUUUGCAUAUAAGCUAUUACAAGUCAUAUAAUCGAUCCCUAGACUAUCCGAACUAUCACCACCCAUCAUCCCGGCCUUGAGUCUCUCGCGCCUAAGCCAAGUCCUUCCCACGAUCACCAUUCGUUCCUGAAAGUCAUAGAGCCAUAAGUAAUCUUAUUUACUUAAUCAUAUGCAAGUCCAUGCAAUGCUCUAUAUGCCAUACACUACUCGGAUCCGUGGAGAGAAUUCAGAGAGGGGAAGAUCGCGCAUCAGUCCGGCCGAUUCUCGGCAGGUCAGUUAAGACCCGCCGGUCGUCCGCCGAGCCGCGUCCCCGCCUCAGCCGAUCCCUACCCGGACCGAGUCUUGUGUAGGAUGCACAUGACCCGGAUACUACUCAGCCCUCUAGUCGGUCCUUUCAAGGAUCCGACUACUAACUCACAUCCUAGAACCCUUAGACUCAAAGUCUAGGAUCCCUUACCUUCCUUCUCGAGGUUAGGUCGAUCCGACCCUCCUUCUUUAUUGCCGGCCAUAGCCCGGCUACCGAAUCCUAAGACUAUUUAUUCUCCCAAGAGGGAGAGAGUUUUAAUGGUGAGUUUUCUUGUGUUUUCGGUGUGUUGUGGUGAGUGGAAUGGUCCUGGGCGCCCUUCCUUAUAUAGGGGGCGAAUGGAUGCUUCCCGAAUCAACACAUCCGUUCCUUGCACCUUUCCGAAGAGUUGCACCUUUUCGAAGAGUUGCGCCCUUCCGAAGAGUUGCACCUUUCCGAAGAGUUGUAUCUCUUCGCCCAUAACCGCCCACUUCGUCCGUCACUCGUCCAGCUACCUCAAGCUCGUCCGUCACUCGUCCAGCUACCUCGAGUUCAACCGUCACUCGUCCAGCUGCCUCGAGCUCGUCCGUCACUCGUCCAGCUGCCCGAGCUGGACUGUCACUCGACCUGAGUAACCGUCACUCCUUCCAGCUGAGCUUGAGCUUUGGGCGAGCUGACCCAAGUGAUUUCUUUACAAUCCUAGCUUAGCCUGCAUGAUUUCCCCUUUGUCCGAGCUUAUGGCCAGCUCCUUCUCACUUGUCCGAGACUCCACCUUCCUCUCUCGGACCAAGUCCUAGCCAACGAUCCUAUUGAGGAUCGCGGGAGUUACAAGGCCCUCCUCUACCUCAGCAGCCGUCUCCACCAGUGCCGCCUUCGUGGCGUACUGCGACACUCUACACCGCACUCUCAAAUCCGGUCGAAGUCCCCUCAAGAACCUCCUCAUCUGGGCCUGGUCAUCCUCCAUGCCCCGACCCGCAUACGCCAAGAGUCGGUUAAACUCCCGGUCAUACUCCCGAGCCGACCGCUCACCCUGUGUCAGCUCAAGAAAACGCGCCUCCAUACGGUCGAGCGCCUCCUUCAGAAAGUACUUGGCAUUAAACUCAGCCACGAAAUCUGCCCAAGACAUAUCCGCCUGCCUCCUCCUGGCAGUCACACUCCGCCACCACAAAUGUGCAUCCCCCUCUAGAAAAUGCACUGCCAGAUCUACCCGAUACUCCGCCGGGCAUCUGCUCGAACCAAAGUUCCGCUCAACCCGCGACCUCCAACUGUCGGCCUCCUCAGGACUAGUACCACCAGAAAAAUAACCGGUGCCAAUCCUCUGCAACUGCUCCAUCAUCCUCAAAUAAGAUGGAACCUCCUCAGCAACCGCAGCCCGCUGCUGCACCUCCGCCACUCGUGGCGCAACUGGAGCCUCCACUGGUACCACACCUGGUAACCGCUCCAACAACUGCCUCAACAGGCCCGCCAAACCAACCUCUGGAACCUGGGCUCCGGCUGCGGCACCCAUCACUCCUGGCCCCUCAGCACCAACGGCAUGCACACCGGUACCGACACUAGCUCCACCAGCCCCCACUCCGGCUGCACCAGCUAUAUCGGCACCAAGACCGUUCCUAACCCCGGGCUCAACAAACUCAGGCUGCGAACCCACACUCUGCUCAACUGUGGCACUGUGGCCAUCACUCUCGCCGGUACCCUCGAGGACUCAUCCCCUACCGCGACCACGACCACGAAUUCCAGCUCCUCUAACCAUCUGCGCUACUCAAGAACAAAUAGCUAAGAAACUAAAACAAACGAAUAUAUCACGAACUCCUCGGAGAAGAUGAUGCUAGGACUCCAACAACACACAAUUGACUAAACACUCCAUAAUCAAUCCUCAAUAUGCUAACACCCUAGCUCAUCCUGUGAGACCCCGUCCCGGACGUCUCGGCGUCCGGCGACGUUGUACUCAAGUUCGCGCCUCUUCCCGGCCGAACCUCUUAAUUUUUCGCGAUUCAACAUAGAAUUGCCUUUACGAGGCUAAAUUCUAUAAUCGCUCUCUUAUUACACAGCGGAAGUCUUUCUAACCUUGGUUUAAUUCUAACCAACUCUUGUACCGGUUUCAUCGUCUUUGUUCCUUAGACUUAGAUCGAUCUUUUACUCGGUCAAGACAUGCAUAUGUUCGCUAACCAUUCUAAGCCAAACAAUCGCAUAUUCCUUUAUCCUACUUUCACGGUCAAUUACCAAACGUCUAUCUUAACUAAUAAGCUAGAUCGUUACAUACCUUGGUCAAUAUGCGGAUUUGAUUCCUUAGCCCGUUUGUCGCCUUACUCCAUUCGUUCAACGACUCGUCAUCGAUCGUGAAUUGAUGAACCAAUCCCUAUCGUACUUAGCCAUACAACCAACCAACCCCACUGGUCUAAGUACAACGAUAGAGAUUGGGGAUCGUACGAUUUCCUUGGUUCACGAUGGCCGAAUCAAGCUCUUGGCUUAUUGGUCCAUUCGUUCUCCAAACGUACGCCCCUCCGGCUACAUGGUGGACGAUUGAGCCCUCGGCUUAUCGAACCAUCCAUGUUUCCGUUUCGGUCGUUUAACACUACGACCGCCCAUGGUUACUAACCGUUUACCCGUCCGGUCCAUGGUGGUCGAUAAAGCUUUCGGUUUAAUGAUCCAUCCAUGCGGUCCGAACGAUAUCCUUAUCACACCCAAGGGUCCGUGGAUUCAUCCACUGGAUCAUCGUAGGCUAGCCCAUGAAAUCUUUCUUCCGUCGGCCUUAGGUUUGCUCGCGGGUCCAACAUCCGUUUUGUCCAUCGGUUCCCACCGUGGACUUUCCCGUUGGUUAUCCGUCGAGUCACCCUUUGGUCUUACCGAUCUCUGAUCGGUUUCACCAUGGCUGAGGAGAUAGAUACAUGAAGGCGGCCGCGAUGUUGAUCCUAUAUGGUGAAUCA